GUCCUGGUGGUCUAGUGGUUAGAGUGCCUGCCUUGGAUGCAGGAGGUUGUGAGUUCGAGCCUCGGCUGAGUCA
This is a non-coding RNA of Potamilus streckersoni, 73 nucleotides long. Lineage: Eukaryota; Metazoa; Mollusca; Bivalvia; Unionida; Unionidae. The record is from the annotation of a GenBank genome assembly.